Long non-coding RNA from Oncorhynchus tshawytscha (Chinook salmon), 609 nucleotides. NCBI's taxonomy places the organism in Eukaryota, Metazoa, Chordata, Actinopteri, Salmoniformes, Salmonidae. The record is from Ensembl.
AUAUCUUCUGGUUUGCCGAUUUGUCGUCAAGUACUGCAAUUGGAGAAGAAAUGGGUAAAAAAAUAUACAUUUUUAAAGAGGACAGUGUGUGUCUGUAUAGGGGACAGUGUGAAUCUAUAUAGGGGACAGUGUGUGUGUCUAUAUAGGGGACAGUGUGUGUGUCUAUAUAGGGGACAGUGUGUGUGUCUAUAUAGGGGACAGUGUGUGUUAAUAUAGGGGACAGUGUGUGUGUCUGUAUAGGGGACAGUGUGAAUCUAUAUAGGGGACAGUGUGUGUGUCUGUAUAGGGGACAGCGUGUGUGUCUGUAUAGGGGAGUGAUGGAGGUAGAUAUGUAUAGGGGGAAGGGGACAGGGAUACUGGAGUGAUGGAGGUAGAUAUGUAUAGGGGGAAGGGGACAGGGAUACUGGAGUGAUGGAGGUAGAUCUGUAUAGGGGGAAGGGGACAGGGAGGUAGAUAUGUAUAGGAGUAAGGGGAUAGGGAUACUGGAGUGAUGGAGGUAGAUAUGUAUAGGGGGAAGGGGAUACUGGAGUGAUGGAGGUAGAUAUGUAUAGGGGGAAGGGGAUACUGGAGUGAUGGAGGUAGAUAUGUAUAGGGGGAAGGGGAUGCUGG